CCUACGGGGGGCAGCAGGCGCGAAACCUCCGCAAUGCACGAAAGUGCGACGGGGGGACUCCAAGUGCCUAUGUAACUCAUAGGCUUUUAGUAAGUGUAAAUAGCUUAAAGAAUAAGGGCUGGGCAAGUUCGGUGCCAGCAGCCGCGGUAACACCGACGGCCCAAGUGGUGACCACUCUUAUUGGGUCUAAAGCGUCCGUAGCCGGUUUAGUAAGUCCCUGUUUAAAUCCUCUGGCUUAACCAGAGGACUGGCAGGGAUACUGCUAGACUUGGGACCGGGAGAGGACAAGGGUACUCCAAGGGUAGCGGUGGAAUGUGUUGAUCCUUGGAGGACCACCUAUGGCGAAGGCACUUGUCUGGAACGGGUCCGACGGUGAGGGACGAAAGCCAGGGGCGCGAACCGGAUUAGAUACCCCCGUAGUC
RNAcentral lists this ribosomal RNA (422 nucleotides) under uncultured archaeon. Its description in RNAcentral is "bacterial SSU rRNA". It matches the Rfam family "Archaeal small subunit ribosomal RNA", at positions 322 to 746 of the family's 1478-position model. The record is from RNAcentral.